UACAGAGGUCUCAAGCGUUGUUCGGAUUCAUUGGGCGUAAAGGGUGCGUAGGCGGCGCGGUAAGUCGGGUGUGAAAUUUCGGAGCUUAACUCCGAAACUGCAUUCGAUACUGGCGUGCUUGAGGACUGGAGAGGAGAGUGGAACUGCGAGUGUAGAGGUGAAAUUCGUAGAUAUUCGCAAGAACACCAGUGGCGAAGGCGGACUCACUGGCCCGAGUACUGACGCUGAGGCACGAAAGCGUGGGGAGCAAACAGGGAAU
Molecule: ribosomal RNA, 259 nt
Filed under: uncultured bacterium
Lineage: Bacteria
Description: partial 16S ribosomal RNA
Rfam family: Bacterial small subunit ribosomal RNA
Source: RNAcentral